RNAcentral lists this small nucleolar RNA (148 nucleotides) under Streptococcus pluranimalium. RNAcentral's name for it is "putative Small nucleolar RNA sau-50". Lineage: Bacteria; Bacillati; Bacillota; Bacilli; Lactobacillales; Streptococcaceae. The record is from RNAcentral.
UGAAAGCAGGAACUUUUGAAGCUGCAAUUGAGAUUUCUUCACCAGUUUGUGGGUUGCGACCUUUACGAGCUGCACGUUCACGAACUUCGAAGUUACCAAAACCGAUAAGUUGUACUUUAUCGCCUUUUGCAAGGAAACCUUCAAUUGC